RNAcentral lists this ribosomal RNA (459 nucleotides) under uncultured bacterium. RNAcentral describes it as "partial 16S ribosomal RNA". It matches the Rfam family "Bacterial small subunit ribosomal RNA", at positions 338 to 795 of the family's 1533-position model. The record is from RNAcentral.
CCUACGGGAGGCAGCAGUGAGGAAUAUUGGUCAAUGGCCGGAAGGCUGAACCAGCCAAGCCGCGUGAAGGACGAAGGUGCCACGCAUUGUAAACUUCUUUUGUCAAGGGACAAAAUCAGGCUCGAGAGCCUGACCGAGGGUACUUGAAGAAAAAGCAUCGGCUAACUCCGUGCCAGCAGCCGCGGUAAUACGGAGGAUGCGAGCGUUAUCCGGAUUUAUUGGGUUUAAAGGGUGCGUAGGCGGACUGUUAAGUCAGCGGUAAAAGCCCGGGGCUCAACCCCGGCGAGCCGUUGAAACUGGGGGUCUUGAGAUGUCGAGAAGUAUGCGGAAUGCGUGGUGUAGCGGUGAAAUGCAUAGAUAUCACGCAGAACUCCGAUUGCGAAGGCAGCAUACCGGCGCUCAACUGACGCUCAUGCACGAAAGUGUGGGUAUCGAACAGGAGUAGAUACCCCGGUAGUC